This 460-nucleotide ribosomal RNA is filed under the name uncultured bacterium. Its description in RNAcentral is "partial 16S ribosomal RNA". It matches the Rfam family "Bacterial small subunit ribosomal RNA", at positions 338 to 795 of the family's 1533-position model. The record is from RNAcentral.
CCUACGGGUAGCAGCAGUGAGGAAUAUUGGUCAAUGGGCGCGAGCCUGAACCAGCCAAGUAGCGUGAAGGAUGACUGCCCUACGGGUUGUACACUUCUUUUAUACAGGAAUAAAGUGAGGCCCGUGUGCCUUUUUGUAUGUCCUUUAUGAAUAAGGAUCGGCUAACUCCGUGCCAGCCGCCGCGGUAAUACGGAAGGUCCGAGCGUUUUCCGGAUGUUUUGGGUUUAAAGGGAGCGUAGAUGGGUUGUUAAGUCAGUUGUGAAAGUUUGCGGCUCAACCGUAAAAUUGCAAUUGAUACUGGCAGUCUUGAGUACAGAUGAGGUAGGCGGAAUUAGAGGUGUAGCGGUGAAAUGCGUAGAUAGCACGAAGAACUCCGAUUGCGAAGGCAGCUUACUAAACUGCCACUGACAUUGAUGCUCGAAAGUGUGGGUAUCAAACAGGAUUAGAUACCCUGGUAGUC